GAACGCUGGCGGCGUGCCUAAUACAUGCAAGUCGAACUUUUUCUGAUUAUUGAAAGGUGCUUGCAUCUUGAUUUAAUUUUGAACGAGUGGCGGACGGGUGAGUAACACGUGGGUAACCUGCCCUUAAGUGGGGGAUAACAUUUGGAAACAGAUGCUAAUACCGCAUAAAUCCAAGAACCGCAUGGUUCUUGGCUGAAAGAUGGCGUAAGCUAUCGCUUUUGGAUGGACCCGCGGCGUAUUAGCUAGUUGGUGAGGUAACGGCUCACCAAGGCAAUGAUACGUAGCCGAACUGAGAGGUUGAUCGGCCACAUUGGGACUGAGACACGGCCCAAACUCCUACGGGAGGCAGCAGUAGGGAAUCUUCCACAAUGGACGCAAGUCUGAUGGAGCAACGCCGCGUGAGUGAAGAAGGCUUUCGGGUCGUAAAACUCUGUUGUUGGAGAAGAAUGGUCGGCAGAGUAACUGUUGUCGGCGUGACGGUAUCCAACCAGAAAGCCACGGCUAACUACGUGCCAGCAGCCGCGGUAAUACGUAGGUGGCAAGCGUUAUCCGGAUUUAUUGGGCGUAAAGCGAGCGCAGGCGGUUUUUUAAGUCUGAUGUGAAAGCCCUCGGCUUAACCGAGGAAGUGCAUCGGAAACUGGGAAACUUGAGUGCAGAAGAGGACAGUGGAACUCCAUGUGUAGCGGUGAAAUGCGUAGAUAUAUGGAAGAACACCAGUGGCGAAGGCGGCUGUCUGGUCUGUAACUGACGCUGAGGCUCGAAAGCAUGGGUAGCGAACAGGAUUAGAUACCCUGGUAGUCCAUGCCGUAAACGAUGAAUGCUAGGUGUUGGAGGGUUUCCGCCCUUCAGUGCCGCAGCUAACGCAUUAAGCAUUCCGCCUGGGGAGUACGACCGCAAGGUUGAAACUCAAAGGAAUUGACGGGGGCCCGCACAAGCGGUGGAGCAUGUGGUUUAAUUCGAAGCAACGCGAAGAACCUUACCAGGUCUUGACAUCUUUUGAUCACCUGAGAGAUCAGGUUUCCCCUUCGGGGGCAAAAUGACAGGUGGUGCAUGGUUGUCGUCAGCUCGUGUCGUGAGAUGUUGGGUUAAGUCCCGCAACGAGCGCAACCCUUAUGACUAGUUGCCAGCAUUUAGUUGGGCACUCUAGUAAGACUGCCGGUGACAAACCGGAGGAAGGUGGGGAUGACGUCAAAUCAUCAUGCCCCUUAUGACCUGGGCUACACACGUGCUACAAUGGAUGGUACAACGAGUUGCGAGACCGCGAGGUCAAGCUAAUCUCUUAAAGCCAUUCUCAGUUCGGACUGUAGGCUGCAACUCGCCUACACGAAGUCGGAAUCGCUAGUAAUCGCGGAUCAGCACGCCGCGGUGAAUACGUUCCCGGGCCUUGUACACACCGCCCGUCACACCAUGAGAGUUUGUAACACCCGAAGCCGGUGGAGUAACCCUUUUAGGGAGCGAGCCGUCUAAGGUGG
This 1472-nucleotide ribosomal RNA is filed under the name uncultured organism. Its description in RNAcentral is "16S ribosomal RNA". It matches the Rfam family "Bacterial small subunit ribosomal RNA". The record is from RNAcentral.